RNAcentral lists this ribosomal RNA (467 nucleotides) under uncultured bacterium. Its description in RNAcentral is "partial 16S ribosomal RNA". It matches the Rfam family "Bacterial small subunit ribosomal RNA", at positions 28 to 507 of the family's 1533-position model. The record is from RNAcentral.
GACGAACGCUGGCGGCGUGCUUAACACAUGCAAGUCGAACGGAAAGGCCCUGCUUUUGUGGGGUGCUCGAGUGGCGAACGGGUGAGUAACACGUGAGUAACCUGCCCUUGACUUUGGGAUAACUUCAGGAAACUGGGGCUAAUACCGGAUAGGAGCUCCUGCUGCAUGGUGGGGGUUGGAAAGUUUCGGCGGUUGGGUAUGGACUCGCGGCUUAUCAGCUUGUUGGUGGGGUAGUGGCUACCAAGGCUUUGACGGGUAGCCGGCCUGAGAGGGUGACCGGCCACAUUGGGACUGAGAUACGGCCCAGACUCCUACGGGAGGCAGCAGUGGGGAAUAUUGCACAAUGGGCGGAAGCCUGAUGCAGCAACGCCGCGUGCAGGAUGACGGCCUUCGGGUUGUAAACCGCUUUCGCCUGUGACGAAGCGUGAGUGACGGUAAUGGGUAAAGAAGCACCGGCUAACUACGUG